GCAUUUUGUGUCACAAUUCACUACAAUCGACGCAGUCGCAAUUCCAAUGUUUAAUGUAUCGUUGCAUAUCAGUCCGUACGCAUAUUUGACAAUUUGCCGCAAUAACGGAUUCAGAUUUCAAUGAAUCUUUGGAUAUUGAAAUUUUUAUCGAAAAAAUUAAAAACUAUCUAGAGAUUUGAAAUCUCGCAGAAUAUCAUGACAAGAAAAAAAAAGCGUGGAUAAAUGUUUAUCGUUUUCUGUAAAAAUUUUGAUGAAAAGAACGAGAUUCGUAAGAAUGAAAUAUAAGACUCAUCCUAAAUAUUGGUCGUAUGCAUGAUAUAUAUCUCAAGUUUCAAGAAAUAUUCAAUUUUUACGAGCGGAAAAUCGAAAAACCACCGUUACAACGGGUGAGAUUUCAUCGAUACCAGAAAAACUCCAAUAUAAUAAAAGGUUUUUAUACAUCCUGUAUUUUUCUCUGGCAAAAAAAGAUGCAGCCAACAGGUAAAACGUGGUAGAAAAAAAUGCGCUCUUAUCUAACCAAUCAAUGAAAGUUGAAAAAAUAUGCAAAUUUCAGGCAAGUUACUGCAACCUGACACCUGUCGUUUUCACGAAUAAUGACAGCGUCAACAUCUGCGUUUCUAUAGAAAGCUAUCUUCUCAAACGUUUGCAAAAUUGACUAUUCUUAAUUUUAUAUAAAAAAG
This is a long non-coding RNA of Apis dorsata (giant honeybee), 680 nucleotides long. RefSeq lists it as uncharacterized. The record is from RefSeq and is a predicted model, not a curated record. The transcript has 2 exons. NCBI's taxonomy places the organism in Eukaryota, Metazoa, Arthropoda, Insecta, Hymenoptera, Apidae.